AUUGAACGCUGGCGGCAUGCCUUACACAUGCAAGUCGAACGGCAGCACGGGAGCAAUCCUGGUGGCGAGUGGCGAACGGGUGAGUAAUAUAUCGGAACGUGCCCAACCGUGGGGGGAUAACGUAGCGAAAGCUACGCUAAUACCGCAUACGAUCUAUGGAUGAAAGCGGGGGAUCGCAAGACCUCGCGCGAUUGGAGCGGCCGAUAUCAGAUUAGGUAGUUGGUGGGGUAAAAGCCUACCAAGCCUUCGAUCUGUAGCUGGUCUGAGAGGACGACCAGCCACACUGGAACUGAGACACGGUCCAGACUCCUACGGGAGGCAGCAGUGGGGAAUUUUGGACAAUGGGCGCAAGCCUGAUCCAGCAAUGCCGCGUGCAGGAUGAAGGCCUUCGGUUGUAACUGCUUUGUACGGUAACGAAACGGUUACGUUU
RNAcentral lists this ribosomal RNA (430 nucleotides) under uncultured bacterium. RNAcentral describes it as "bacterial SSU rRNA". It matches the Rfam family "Bacterial small subunit ribosomal RNA", at positions 30 to 461 of the family's 1533-position model. The record is from RNAcentral.